GUGGUGGCUCAGUGGUAGAGUUCUCGUCUUGCAUGUGUGAGGCACUGAGUUCAAUUCUCAGCACCACA
This 68-nucleotide transfer RNA is filed under the name Marmota monax (woodchuck). It matches the Rfam family "tRNA". From Rfam's summary of the family: Transfer RNA (tRNA) molecules are approximately 80 nucleotides in length. Their secondary structure includes four short double-helical elements and three loops (D, anti-codon, and T loops). The record is from Rfam by way of RNAcentral. Lineage: Eukaryota; Metazoa; Chordata; Mammalia; Rodentia; Sciuridae.